RNAcentral lists this ribosomal RNA (496 nucleotides) under uncultured bacterium. RNAcentral's name for it is "partial 16S ribosomal RNA". It matches the Rfam family "Bacterial small subunit ribosomal RNA", at positions 30 to 523 of the family's 1533-position model. The record is from RNAcentral.
AUUGAACGCUGGCGGCGUGCCUAACACAUGCAAGUCGCACGCGAAAGGGGGCAACCCCAAGUAGAGUGGCGGACGGGCGAGUAACGCGUAGGAAUCUACCUAGUAGUGGGGGACAACCCGGCGAAAGCCGGGCUAAUACCGCAUACGACCUAAGCGUGAAAGCAGGGGAUCGCAAGACCUUGCGCUAUUAGAUGAGCCUGCGUCCUAUUAGCUAGUUGGUGAGGUAACGGCUCACCAAGGCGACGAUCGGUAACUGGUUUGAGAGAACGACCAGUCACAUUGGGACUGAGACACGGCCCGAACUCCUACGGGAGGCAGCAGUGGGGAAUAUUGGACAAUGGGGGCAACCCUGAUCCAGCGACGCCGCGUUUGUGAAGAAGGCCUUCGGGUUGUAAAGCACUUUCGGCAGGGACAAACAAGACGGAGCUAACAUCUCCGUUCCUGAUGGUACCUGAAGAAGAAGCACCGGCUAACUCUGUGCCAGCAGCCGCAGUAA